RNAcentral lists this ribosomal RNA (406 nucleotides) under uncultured bacterium. RNAcentral describes it as "partial 16S ribosomal RNA". It matches the Rfam family "Bacterial small subunit ribosomal RNA", at positions 28 to 526 of the family's 1533-position model. The record is from RNAcentral.
GAUGAACGCUGACAGAAUGCUUAACACAUGCAGUCACUGAUUGUGGCGGAGGGGUGAGUAACGCGUAAAGAACUUGCAUCUCAGGUAGGGAAAACAUUGGGAAACGAAUGCUAAUACCUAAUACUGUGAGAGAGGUUUGCGUCCCAUUAGCUAGUUGGAGGGGUAACGGCUCACCAAGGCGAUGAUGGGUAGCCGGCCUGCUCGGGUGAUCGGCCACGAUGCGAAUGAGACACGGCCCUGACUCCUACUGGGGUCAGCAGUGGGGAAUAUUGGAGCAUGGACCAAAGGCUAAUCCAGCAAUUCUGUGGGCACGAUGAAGUUUUCGGAAUGUAAAGUUCUUUCAGUUGGGAAGCGGUACCAACAGAAGAAGCGACGGCUAAAUACGUGCCAGCAGCCGCGGUAAUAC